Molecule: unclassified non-coding RNA, 336 nt
Filed under: soil metagenome
Description: partial contains 5.8S ribosomal RNA, internal transcribed spacer 2, and large subunit ribosomal RNA
Rfam family: 5.8S ribosomal RNA (bases 1-120)
Source: RNAcentral
GAUGAAGAACGUAGCGAAAUGCGAUAAGUAAUGUGAAUUGCAGAAUUCAGUGAAUCAUCGAAUCUUUGAACGCACAUUGCGCCCGCCAGCAUUCUGGCGGGCAUGCCUGUUCGAGCGUCAUUUCAACCCUCAAGCUCUGCUUGGUGUUGGGGCCCUACGUCUGACGUAGGCCCUCAAAGACAGUGGCGGACCCUCUCGGAGCCUCCUUUGCGUAGUAACUAACGUCUCGCACUGGGAUUCGGAGGGACUCUUGCCGUAAAACCCCCAAUUUUUACAGGUUGACCUCGGAUCAGGUAGGGAUACCCGCUGAACUUAAGCAUAUCAAUAAGCGGAGGA